CCAUGGCUAAAUUGUAGCAAAAGACUGGUCAAUUAGCCGAAAAAUGCCGACGAAGCCCGACGGCGACAGUGCCGCAGGAAAUUUCACAAAACGUCUCCGAUGAGUCCCUUUUUUAUUCCUGUUUUAUGUAAUUUUUCUACUGUUGUGAUCAUCGUGUCCUUCUCUACAGGUUGACCGGAGCAAAACACUCAACCGAAACGUGAGCCGGAGGAGCUGCCGCACCGGAGAGCCCCGCCGCAGGUGAGUUUUAGUUUUUUUGUAUUUUUUUGGACCGACCGAGAUCCUUUAAUGUGUGCAAUGAUUGUUAAUUAUAUAUAGAAUCAUGAUCUGUAUAAU
Molecule: long non-coding RNA, 336 nt
Filed under: Carica papaya (papaya)
Lineage: Eukaryota; Viridiplantae; Streptophyta; Magnoliopsida; Brassicales; Caricaceae
Description: long non-coding RNA (CPAP_LNC016344)
Source: RNAcentral